Bos taurus (domestic cattle) is the source of this 1070-nucleotide long non-coding RNA. NCBI's taxonomy places the organism in Eukaryota, Metazoa, Chordata, Mammalia, Artiodactyla, Bovidae. The record is from Ensembl.
UGAACGUUCACAUCAUGACUCAGUCCAGGUGCUCACUUAUUAAUCCAGUUCAGACUCAGGAAACACAGCCAAAUAUCAACCAACUCAGUUUUCUCACCUUUGGCAGUACUUGACAAGUUUGGCUGACUCUGUCUUACAAAGCCUCAAACAGAUGCAUUCAGCUUGCUGCUGGUCUCCCAAGUUCCCAAGUGCCAGAACAAGGUAGCCAAGAGUGAUCAGCUGUGGAGAAACCUGUGUCUGAGAAAAUGGAGCUUCUGCAUCUUCUCCAGUCAGUGCCUGGGCGCACAGACACACAGCAGUGUUCCUCAGACAAAGCAGGAGUGCUGGAUGACGCUGGCACAUCAGACACUCUGUCUACAAAGCAGCAGCUGGGAACCUCAGUGUACGGCAGAGAGUACGCUAGAGUCUUAAAUUUGAACAUUAUACCUAGAGAUGGAACUUAAGCCCAUGAGGAUGAAAGCCAUAUACUAAGGAUUGCAGAACAAGAAAAGGAUCCUGAUUUCUCAUCGACAUCCUUGAACAAGGAAGGAGCAACACCAUGAAUUUCAUUGGCCUUUCUUGACGUGACAUCAGUUGUGUGUAUUUUCAUGCUACUUCUCUCCAUGCAUGAGGAACCCAGGCAUUUCAAGUUGAGAAAACAUUUCACAGCAGAAGCUAAAUAUUCUGAACUUGCAAGCAACAAGAUGAGAAACAUGAUCUCUCUGUUUCAGAUUCACAGAUACUUUACAGAUCUCAAAUAUUUACUCAUCUCCUGCUCAUCGGCCUCUAGGACUGAGUGAUCACCCAUGUGUUGUAGAAGGAAAAUUCUCAAGCUUUGACAUUCAACUACCUGGGUUCCAAACUCAACUGUACCACUUAGCAGCUCUGUGCCCAGUCACGUCAACUCUUUGCAGCCCCAUGGACUAUAGUCCACCAGGCUCCUCUGCCCAUGGAAUUUUCCAGGCAAGAAUACUAGAGUGGGUUGCCAUUUCCUUUUCCAGGGGAUCUUCCCGACACCGUGAUCAAAACCACAUCUCCUGUGUCUCCUGCAUUGGCAGGCAGAUUCUUUACCAUUCGUGCAACCUAGGAAG